RNAcentral lists this unclassified non-coding RNA (227 nucleotides) under Hevea brasiliensis (rubber tree). The record is from RNAcentral. Lineage: Eukaryota; Viridiplantae; Streptophyta; Magnoliopsida; Malpighiales; Euphorbiaceae.
AAUGGAAGUUAAUGUUGCUUCACUGCAACACAUAUCUCUAGCACUACUCGCAUACUAGGACUAGGAAGUAGAGAAACUUCAUUUACACGAGUGAUCAUCAUAAGAAGUAUCAACACACCCGGUGUUACAACUUGUUUAUUGCAAAGGGCAAGGGAACUUAUGUUCGUGGUCAUUGUGAAGCUUCCGUUUUUGCUCUUCAUAUAUUUAAAGUUUUGUGAGAAAUCUUA